UACGUGUGGAGCAAGCGUUAUCCGGAUUUACUGGGUGUAAAGGGAGCGUAGACGGUAUGCCAAGUCUGAUGUGAAAGGUGUGGGCUCAACCCGCAAACUGCAUUGGAAACUGGUAGACCGGAGUGUCGGAGAGGUAAGUGGAAUUCCUAGUGUAGCGGUGAAAUGCCUAGAUAUUAGGAGGAACACCAGCGGCGAAGGCGGCUUACUGGACGAUAACUGACGUUGAGGCUCGAAAGCGAGGGGAGCAAAC
RNAcentral lists this ribosomal RNA (250 nucleotides) under uncultured prokaryote. Its description in RNAcentral is "partial 16S ribosomal RNA". It matches the Rfam family "Bacterial small subunit ribosomal RNA", at positions 524 to 773 of the family's 1533-position model. The record is from RNAcentral.